Bos taurus (domestic cattle) is the source of this 405-nucleotide long non-coding RNA. Lineage: Eukaryota; Metazoa; Chordata; Mammalia; Artiodactyla; Bovidae. The record is from Ensembl.
CAUGAGCAAGCUCUGGGAGUUGGUGAUGGACAGGGAAGCCUGGCGUGCUGCAGUGCAUGGGGUCACAGAGUUGGACACGGCUGAGCGACUGAACUGAUUGAAGUGCAGUUGAUUAACAAGGCUGUGUGAGUUUCAGGCGGCGUGGCGGAGGCGGCUGGUGUCGGAUGAACCCGGAUUCGGGACGACCGAAGAAAGGUGCACCUUUGCCUCCUCCGAGCCGAGAGCUGAGAGCCACGGUACUUUUAUAAUCUCCCGCUCCAUGUUCAGUGUGAUUCUUUGAAUUGAUUCCGUUCUUUAAACUGAAUGUGUCUAGAGAAACAUCCAAAACUCUUUUGAGAAAUUGUACCAUGAAAAUGAUCAGAGAAAUGGGCCCACUGCUGGAGGGGAUGCAGGGUCAAAAAAAAA